Molecule: RNA transcript, 5838 nt
Organism: Dreissena polymorpha
Lineage: Eukaryota; Metazoa; Mollusca; Bivalvia; Myida; Dreissenidae
Exons: 11
Source: RefSeq, a predicted model, not a curated record
UGCAGGAAAUUCUGAGAAUAUAGAGUUUUCAAGCGCUGUACUCAACAACCGCAAUGUCUGUGUUGAGUUUUCAACACUCGAGACUGAGUAGUUUUGUUAAGCUCGAGUGCCAGAGUGGGACAGACACGAGGAGUUAUAGAUGUAGUUAUGGUUACACUAACAGUCAGUUCUUGCCGUUUGACAUCACAACGAAUAUCACGAAGAAUAAAAAGUUGAUUAAUUUGUUCCAUUCUUUAUGGGACAAACAUACAUUCAGCGAGGAACAGGAGAAAAUCAAGGAAAUUUGUUACAAUUGAAGCAAUUUAUUCACAUGUGUAAGCUUUCCAAGCGGGAUACUUUUGCUGUCUAUAGUUUGGACAGUAGUAGAGUUUCAAACGCGCUUUUGACGCUGUUGCUGACAAAGAAAGGCAGUAACUACUUCAUUGUGAACUCCCAAGACACGAUACACCCAUGGGGUUUGCCUCAAAUAUGAAUUCCGCCCAAUAUUGUAAACAAGGUGCUAAAAGUAAACACGUCCGGUUUUGUUACGAGCACUUCGCACUCCAAGCCCAAAGCACAUAGAAUCAACGCUAGAAAAGGCUUAGAAAAUGACAGCAGUUUUGUUGUGUGAUCCAGUAAGGACUUCGACUCUGAACCCGACGUUGAUGAGACCUCAAACUUGACCAUAGCACUCACAGCGAGGCCAACAUGUUAUCUCAGCUUCUUGAGCUUCAGCAAACAUUAUUAGCAAACAAGAUGAAAACAUCAUUGAAGUGAAAGUCAAAGACAAUCCUGACUCCCUUCGGGCACAAAUAUUACAACUUGCUGAAGAAAUUCAGCACGAAGAUGUCUUGCGUCAGCCUAGCACGCCUCCUAUCAACUCUGAUAGCUGAGCCUUGGUGAGUUUGACUUUUGUCUAAGAUUCGAUGUCGCUUAGCAACAAUUAGAUGCUGGCAUCAACAAAUUGUUCCGCACAAGUCGCUCGAACGUAAACAAUCUGAUCCAACAGAUAGAGCAGGCGUUGCGAGACUCGUCUGUUGAUGUGACUGACCUUGAUAUGUUGCUUUCGAAUAAUGUGAACCUUAUGCCUGAAGAGCAGAUUGACGCCAUUCAACAAAACAAGUCGGGAAUUCCCGGGUUUGGGGUGGUGACUUUGUCGUCGGGACUCUCUUUCUAUUGCCUGGUCGCAGAGGCAGCAGCAACAAAAACAACAAAGCUAGUUCCUAGCAAUCAUAGAACGGUACCCUGCUGAAAAACAGGAUCUCUGGUCAGCUGGGCCCAGAUGCCCAGCAACACUUCCUGGCCCAGGACCUUGGGGCAAAUGCUCAACAUGUCUUAUCUGCAUGGUGAAGCCAGUCUAAUUCUUGGGCUCCAAACUCUCCUGUUGUGGGGCCGAGAUUACCUCAUCCAUAAGAAUGCAAUGAAUUAUUUGGUUGACAGGGACACAUUACUAGGAUGCGCUAAGGUCCUUUUAUCUGUUCACAGAGGCCUUAUACUCACAAGUUCAGGCCCAACUACAACACAAUCAGUACGUCUCAAUAGAGGACACCCUUCCUGAAAACCUCGCUGAGUGCGACUGCGCCAUACGUGACCCUUCAGUGAAAUAAGAUUCCAGACGGAAUGUCAAACCUGUACUACUCAGGUCUCCAGCAAUAGCCUCAGCCUUGACCGCAGGUCAAGGGUCACCCCGCAACGUUUAGUGCCUAGCGAUGAAAUCAUCCACCGUUACAUGUAGUUGGUUGAGGGUCGCCCAAAACCACCCAGUGCCUUGCGAUGAAAACCUCUUACGGGACUGUGACCUUGCCCUUGGACUCACCUAAUGGUCAGGUUGACGAUCACUUGGGCUUAGAUAGUCACUGCAGUAAGAAAGUGUAAGAUUUUAAAGAAGAUGACUUCACAACAUGACAUCCGAGACUGCAGGGAAAAAGAAAAGAAGAUGACUUCACAACAUGACAUCCGAGACUGCAAAUACGAAAUAAGUGUCCUCACUUCAGCAGUGGAAGCCAAUACACAAUACGAGAGUUUCCAGCGGCUUACCUUAUCUGAAAACCUGGGUAGCAGAGCAAUGAGUAUGUCCCAGGAGCAUUUUCAGUCAUCGUCUGCAGAUUAUGAGAUCCCCAUGCUCCACAACCCUCAGUCUAUGAACAUCAUGCAUAGCGAACCUUGGACGUUCCUUGACGAAAUCAAACCAGCAAAUCAGGAGGACAGCCUGUUGCUACCGUUGUUAUCAUAUUAACCCCAUACCGAAGAAGCUCAGAGAUAUAAAUGCUGUUUAAGAUGUGCUAGUCUCUGCAUACCCCAUGUCUGGCGUGAACAUGUACAAUUGAAGGUCUCUACAUACCCCAUGUCUGGUGUGAACAUGUACAACUGAAGAUCUCUACAUACCCCAUGUCUGGUGUGAACAUGUACAAUUGAAGGUCUCUACAUACCCCAUGUCUGGUGUGAACAUGUACAGUUGAAGGUCUCUAUAUACCCCAUGUCUGGUGUGAACAUGUACAAUUGAAGGUCUCUACAUACCCCAUGUCUGGUGUGAACAUGUACAGUUGAAGGUCUCUAUAUACCCCAUGUCUGGUGUGAACAUGUACAAUUGAAGGUCUCUACAUACCUCAUGUCUGGUGUGAACAUGUACAAUUGAAGGUCUCUACAUACCCCAUGUCUGGUGUGAACAUGUACAAUUGAAGGUCUCUACAUACCCCAUGUCUGGUGUGAACAUGUACAACUGAAGAUCUCUACAUACCCCAUGUCUGGUGUGAACAUGUACAAUUGAAUGGCUCUCUAUAUACCUCAUGUCUGGUGUGAACAUGUACAAUUGAAGGUCUCUACAUACCACAUGUCUGGUGUGAACAUGAACAAUUAAAGGUCUCUACGUACCCCAUGUCCGGUGUGAACAUGUACAAUUGAAGGUCUCAUCUUUGAAAUUGGGACAGGUGGAAAAUUGAUGCAUUGAUGCAGACAGAAGUCGCAUAAUGACAAAUCACAACAAAAAGUGGAAAUCCAGACAGUCUUGUAGCCAGCCAUGUUUUUAUGUGACCAUCCAAGUUGUGUUAAAAGAAAACAAUAGUUCAUGUUUUAUUGGAACUAUGAUGCUGAUAGUCAUUUUAUGUAAAAGGCUUUUAUGAACUAUAUUUAAAUACUCAGUAUAAUAAGAUUAAGAUUUCUUGAUAAAAGCAAUAAUGAGCAAUAUCAUUUUAAGAGCAAAAUUAGCAAGUCUAUCCAAUUACAUUGUCUGUAUUAUGAAAUUUUAUUUUGGAAAUGUUAAGAAAAAUAUAUAUAUAUGUCUAUGAAUAUUGAUUUUAAAAUUUGUCAAAGCUGUUUAAAUGAUGCUGGUAACUUUGACAAAAUUGAAAGAAAAUGUAUUCUUUUCAUGUAAUGAGACAUGCUUCAGUUUUUUUUUGGCUUAACAUGUAAUAUAGAGGUGGUAGUUACACACAUUGUUUAGACAGGUGGAUAAUUUUAAUGCUAAGGCUUUGAUACUCUUAAGUGUGCCCAUUGGUGUCAGGUGUUUUUGUCAAGCAUCUUGUUUAUUAUCUUAGUAUUUGAAGACAAUAUUGAUUGAUUUUAGACAAAAUCAUUUAAUCUUCCUUAAAUUGUCUAUUCUGUAUUUACUACCAGUUAUUUAUUAAUUUGCUUGAACAUGAUUUAAGAAUGACUUUUUUGUUGCUUAAAAUGCUUUAUAUGUUUUAAAACUGAGCAUUUAAAAACGAAAAUAUAGGAUGUGGGAAUAAUGUCUAAAGUUAUGAUAAUUAUUUUUUGUUUUUGUAAAAUUAAUUAUGCCUUAUAUGUUUGUGUAUAGGCAUUUAGACGACCAGAUUAACCUGACCAAGAAUUCGUGAUCAAUGUGUAUAUCGGUCAGUACAUUUGUCAUUUGUAUAUAGAGCGAUUGCGAAAUGAUUGUAUUGUUAAUGAAAAUCAUGCGUUUAUUGUUGCCAUUUUGAUUUUCGCUGUUAACAUGUAUUUGUACAAACAAUUUUCAUCCUGUACAUCUUUUAGAUGCCAGAUAAUAAAAACAAACAUUGCUUGUGGAGAUGCUCAUUUAAAACUUUCUUAAUGAUACAGAACAACACAGUCUGAAGAGGCAAAUAAAUUAUGCUUUAGGCAAAAGGAACAUCUUGUUACUAGUAUAUGUACUGCUUUUCAUUAGAUAAAGUCAACCAACUAUUGAAAGAUUGGUUUAACUUUGUUUUGCAUUAUCUUAAGAAAAAAUAAUAUAUUCUACUUGGAAAUCAGUCAAUUGCAAAUCAAGUGAGAGUGGUUUAACAUGCUUACACUUGUCAAUAAUUGAAUUGUCUCUCUUUGUACGUAAGAUAUAGGGAUGUUGUUGCUUGAAAAACAAAGUUGUAUCCGUUGUUAGAUAAUGCUUUUGUUCAUCUCUCAACAUAACAAGUACAUUCAUACAGUUAUUAAAAAUAUGACACUCUUAAUUCUCAGCCAUCAGUUUGUAUUGGGAAUUUGUGGAAUACUUACUAAACUAAUAUACGUCUGUUUAAUGAAUUAAUAGCUAUGGUACAAUAUGAUACUCAUUGUUACAAAACAUGUGUAAUAAAAAUAUAAUGUCAUUUAUUUCAAAUCAUAAAAUUUAGUUGUCCAUACAAUGCUUACAGUUUUGCAAUUGCGACGAUAAAGGAAAUGUUCUGCUCAAAAUGUCUUUUUAAGACAUGUGAAAAUUGUAGCAAUCAUAUUGUACUUGUAUUUAUAUUAUACAUUAUAAGAAUUUACUUACAACUGAUUAUAGCGGCAGUUUACUAUUUGUGUUACAGUUUGUUCCACUCGACCAUUAGACCAUAUUUCCUUAAAAAUGUGAUUGUUUAUAUUGAACUUAAAUUGAAUGCAUGAAACAUGAUUGUUAUGUUGCUUAACAGCUGAAAAUAGCUUGAUGUUUGUAAAAUUGUAUGAAAUGUUUCAAAUAAAUCAUAUUGAUUACAUAAAAAAAUAUAAUUACAUUUUGCGUUACUUUGAAUGCAUAACAAACAAUUGUUACCAUACAAUCAUAUUAGUAUUGAACUUAAUUAAUACUUUAAGAUGCAAUUUUUACAAUAAUGAGUUAAUAUUGUCAUCCAUUCCAAAUAAGCAUUGUGCAUUUGUAAAUAUAGGGUGUAUAUACACUGCUUAGAUGCCUUUUUUAAAUUGCUUGUGUACGUCAUAUUGAUUAAAGACUCUUAUGUAUUGCAUAUUUGUGUGUGCCUAUGUCUUACUUAUUUCUUCACAGUCCUCAAAUUACUGCAAAUAGAACUUUAAGAAUGUUAAAAUAUUUAUCUAAACUAUAACCAGGUUAUCUGUUAAUUUAAGUUUCAUACAUAAUAUUUAGUGCUAAUAAAUCAGCACUAUUUAUUGAUUUUUUAUAUGGGCACUUCCCAUGACUUAAUUCGUGAAUAUUUCUUUGAAUGUGCGGUAGGGAAAACAUUGUUUGCUUGAAGGUGAGAAACUUUAUGUUGACAUCUUGAAAGAUGGCAGUAAACAUUUAACUGCAGAGUAGCUGGGAAAAAGAUUGAUGUUAAACAAUGUAAGACAGAACUCCACGCAAGAUAUGUCAUGCAUGCGAUAUGCAUGAACUAUCUCAAAAUAAUUUGGAUCUGAAUUAUCUUUAAGAAAUGGUAUGGUUAUGAGGGUCUCUAUGUGCAAAAUGUUGCAUUUAUUAAGUGUACAAGUUAUUGCUUAAACAUUGAAUUUGUUAUGGAAAUAAUAUAGUUUAUGUGACUUAAAGAGAUAUACAUGUUUAUGUUAGUGAUGUGUUUUUGCUGAUCCAAGUCUGUUCCUACACACUAUUUAAAGUAGAUAACUACAAGUUAUCUCAUUUAAAUGGGAAAAGUAUUGUACUGUAAAAAAGUGUUGUGAGUUCAAAUAAAAAUACUAUGAACCGUU